GAGGGAGGAAGGCUCUUGGGUUGUAAACCUCUUUUCUCAGGGAAGAACACAAUGACGGUACCUGAGGAAUCAGCAUCGGCUAACUCCGUGCCAGCAGCCGCGGUAAGACGGAGGAUGCAAGCGUUAUCCGGAUUUAUUGGGCGUAAAGCGUCCGCAGGUGGUUAUUCAAGUCUGCUGUCAAAGCGCGAGGCUUACCUUCGUAAAGGCAGUGGAAACUGAAUGACUUGAGAAUGAUAGGGGCAGAGGGAAUUCCCAGUGUAGCGGUGAAAUGCGUAGAGAUUGGGAAGAACACCGGUGGCGAAAGCGCU
This 308-nucleotide ribosomal RNA is filed under the name uncultured cyanobacterium. Its description in RNAcentral is "bacterial SSU rRNA". It matches the Rfam family "Bacterial small subunit ribosomal RNA", at positions 401 to 725 of the family's 1533-position model. Lineage: Bacteria; Bacillati; Cyanobacteriota. The record is from RNAcentral.